UACAGAGGUCCCAAGCGUUGUUCGGAAUCAUUGGGCGUAAAGGGCGUGUAGGCGGUUUGUUAAGUCAUGUGUGAAAUCCCUCGGCUCAACCGGGGAAGGACGCAUGAAACUGGCAAGCUAGAGUACCAAAGAGGGGGGUGGAAUUCCUGGUGUAGCGGUGAAAUGCGCAGAUAUCAGGAGGAACACCGGUGGCGAAGGCGGGUCUCUGGGCCGAUACUGACGCUGAGGAGCGAAAGCGUGGGGAGCGAACAGG
Molecule: ribosomal RNA, 253 nt
Filed under: uncultured bacterium
Lineage: Bacteria
Description: partial 16S ribosomal RNA
Rfam family: Bacterial small subunit ribosomal RNA
Source: RNAcentral